This 238-nucleotide unclassified non-coding RNA is filed under the name Neodevriesia sardiniae. RNAcentral's name for it is "partial contains 5.8S ribosomal RNA, internal transcribed spacer 2, and large subunit ribosomal RNA". Lineage: Eukaryota; Fungi; Ascomycota; Dothideomycetes; Mycosphaerellales; Neodevriesiaceae. The record is from RNAcentral.
CGCACAUUGCGCCCUUUGGCAUUCCGAAGGGCAUGCCUGUUCGAGCGUCAUUACACCAAUCACGCCUGGCGUGGUAUUGGGCGAUGGGAGCAACCCCACGCCCCAAUGACUACCGGCGGGACGGACCGAAUCUCAGCGUUGUGAAUCAAAAGCCGCUGGCGAGACGGGACGGCCGUGCCGUUAAACAACCCCAUCACAGGUUGACCUCGGAUCAGGUAGGGAUACCCGCUGAACUUAA